AACGAACGCUGGCGGCAGGCUUAACACAUGCAAGUCGAACGCAUGCCUUCGGGCAUGAGUGGCAGACGGGUGAGUAACGCGUGGGAACCUACCCCUUGGUACGGGAUAGCUCCGGGAAACUGGAGAUAAUACCGUAUGUGUCCUGAGGGACAAAGAUUCAUCGCCAAGGGAUGGGCCCGUGUCGGAUUAGCUAGUUGGUGGGGUAACGGCCUACCAAGGCGACGAUCCGUAGCUGGUCUAAGAGGAUGAUCAGCCACAUUGGGACUGAGACACGGCCCAAACUCCUACGGGAGGCAGCAGUGGGGAAUAUUGGGCAAUGGGCGCAAGCCUGAUCCAGCCAUGCCGCGUGAGUGAUGAAGGCCCUAGGGUUGUAAAGCUCUUUCACCGGUGACGAUAAUGACGGUAACCGGAGAAGAAGCCCCGGCUAACUUCGUG
RNAcentral lists this ribosomal RNA (435 nucleotides) under uncultured bacterium. RNAcentral describes it as "partial 16S ribosomal RNA". It matches the Rfam family "Bacterial small subunit ribosomal RNA", at positions 29 to 507 of the family's 1533-position model. The record is from RNAcentral.